Molecule: ribosomal RNA, 253 nt
Filed under: uncultured bacterium
Lineage: Bacteria
Description: partial 16S ribosomal RNA
Rfam family: Bacterial small subunit ribosomal RNA
Source: RNAcentral
CACGUAGGGCGCAAGCGUUGUCCGGAAUUAUUGGGCGUAAAGAGCGUGUAGGCGGCCAGACAGGUCCGUUGUGAAAACUGGAGGCUCAACCUCCAGACGUCGAUGGAAACCGUCUGGCUAGAGUCCGGAAGAGGAGAGUGGAAUUCCUGGUGUAGCGGUGAAAUGCGCAGAUAUCAGGAAGAACACCCGUGGCGAAAGCGGCUCUCUGGGACGGUACUGACGCUGAGACGCGAAAGCGUGGGGAGCGAACAGG